This 301-nucleotide ribosomal RNA is filed under the name uncultured bacterium. RNAcentral's name for it is "partial 16S ribosomal RNA". It matches the Rfam family "Bacterial small subunit ribosomal RNA", at positions 509 to 807 of the family's 1533-position model. The record is from RNAcentral.
CAGCCGCCGCGGGAAUACAGAGGGUGCGAGCGUUAAUCGGAUUUACUGGGCGUAAAGCGUGCGUAGGCGGCUUUUUAAGUCGGAUGUGAAAUCCCUGAGCUUAACUUAGUAAUUGCAUUCGAUACUGGGAAGCUAGAGUAUGGGAGAGGAUGGUAGAAUUCCAGGUGUAGCGGUGAAAUGCGUAGAGAUCUGGAGGAAUACCGAUGGCGAAGGCAGCCAUCUGGCCUAAUACUGACGCUGAGGUACGAAAGCAUGGGGAGCAAACAGGAUUAGAUACCCGAGUAGUCCCUGUCUCUUAUAC